AUUGAACGCUGGCGGCAUGCUUUACACAUGCCAGUCGAACGGCAGCGCGGGCUUCGGCCUGGCGGCGAGUGGCGAACGGGUGAGUAAUGCAUCGGAACGUGCCCAGUAGUGGGGGAUAGCCCGGCGAAAGCCGGAUUAAUACCGCAUACGACCUGAGGGUGAAAGCGGGGGACCGAAAGGCCUCGCGCUAUUGGAGCGGCCGAUGUCGGAUUAGCUAGUUGGUGGGGUAAAGGCUUACCAAGGCGACGAUCCGUAGCUGGUCUGAGAGGACGACCAGCCACACUGGGACUGAGACACGGCCCAGACUCCUACGGGAGGCAGCAGUGGGGAAUUUUGGACAAUGGGGGCAACCCUGAUCCAGCCAUGCCGCGUGCGGGAAGAAGGCCUUCGGGUUGUAACCGCUUUUGUUCGGGAAGAAAUCCUCUGGGCUAAUACCCCGGGGGGAUGACGGUACCGGAAGAAUAAGCACCGGCUAACUACGUG
RNAcentral lists this ribosomal RNA (483 nucleotides) under uncultured bacterium. Its description in RNAcentral is "partial 16S ribosomal RNA". It matches the Rfam family "Bacterial small subunit ribosomal RNA", at positions 28 to 507 of the family's 1533-position model. The record is from RNAcentral.